CAAUAAGCGUAUACUAAAAGUUAGUUGCAGUUAAAAAAGCUCGUAGUUGAAUUUUCUGGUCGUGAAACGUGGUCCGUUCCCGCAAGGGAAUGUGUACUGUCGAUUCAUGUCCAUCCUCGGAGUUAGUGUGUAUUACUUUAAUCGGUCGUGCACAUGUCCUCCGUCAUUUACUUGUGAGACAAAAUAGAGUGUUCAAAGCAGGCUUAUGCCGUUGAAUAUAUUAGCAUGGAAUAAUAAGAUAUGACUUUGGUUCUAUUUUUGUUGGUUUGCACUCCAAAGUAAUGAUUAAUAGGGAUAGGUUGGGGGUAUUCGUAUUCAAGUGUCAGAGGUGAAAUUCUUGGAUUUACUGGAAGACGAACUACUGCGAAAGCAUUUACCAAGGAUGUUUUCAUUAAUCAAGAACGAAAGUUAGGGGAUCGAAGAUGAUCAGAUACCAU
This 437-nucleotide ribosomal RNA is filed under the name uncultured eukaryote. RNAcentral's name for it is "bacterial SSU rRNA". It matches the Rfam family "Eukaryotic small subunit ribosomal RNA", at positions 591 to 1018 of the family's 1831-position model. The record is from RNAcentral.